Molecule: ribosomal RNA, 253 nt
Filed under: uncultured bacterium
Lineage: Bacteria
Description: partial 16S ribosomal RNA
Rfam family: Bacterial small subunit ribosomal RNA
Source: RNAcentral
UACAGAGGUGGCAAGCGUUGUUCGGAUUUACUGGGCGUAAAGGGUGCGUAGGUGGUUGCCCAUGUCGGGUGUGAAAGCCCACGGCUCAACCGUGGAAUGGCAUUCGAAACGGGGUAACUAGAGUGCAGGAAGGGAGAGCGGAAUUCUUGGUGUAGCGGUGAAAUGCGUUGAUAUCAAGAAGAACACCGGUGGCGAAGGCGGCUCUCUGGAAUGCUACUGACACUGAGGCACGAAAGCUGGGGGAGCAAACAGG